RNAcentral lists this microRNA precursor (93 nucleotides) under Chlorocebus sabaeus (green monkey). Its description in RNAcentral is "miRNA (ENSCSAG00000024295.1)". The record is from RNAcentral. Lineage: Eukaryota; Metazoa; Chordata; Mammalia; Primates; Cercopithecidae.
AGGGAAGAUGUUAGGUUGGUGCAAAAGUAAUUGUGAUUUUUGCCAUUGAAAGUAAUGGAAAACAUUCACAAUUAUGUUUGCACCAACCCAAUA